UGGGGAAUAUUGGACAAUGGGCGCAAGCCUGAUCCAGCCAUGCCGCGUGAGUGACGAAGGUCUUCGGAUUGUAAAACUCUUUUGGCGGGGACGAUAAUGACGGUACCCGCAGAAUAAGCCCCGGCUAACUUCGUGCCAGCAGCCGCGGUAAUACGAAGGGGGCUAGCGUUGUUCGGAAUCACUGGGCGUAAAGCGCACGUAGGCGGAUGUGCCAGUCAGGGGUGAAAUCCCGGAGCUCAACUCCGGAACUGCCUCUGAUACUGCACGUCUUGAGUUCGAGAGAGGUGGGUGGAAUUCCUAGUGUAGAGGUGAAAUUCGUAGAUAUUAGGAAGAACACCGGUGGCGAAGGCGGCCCACUGGCUCGAUACUGACGCUGAGGUGCGAAAGCGUGGGGAGCAAACAGGAUUAGAUACCCCUGUAGUCCCUGAGCGGGCUGGCAAGGCGCAU
This 447-nucleotide ribosomal RNA is filed under the name uncultured bacterium. RNAcentral describes it as "bacterial SSU rRNA". It matches the Rfam family "Bacterial small subunit ribosomal RNA", at positions 355 to 825 of the family's 1533-position model. The record is from RNAcentral.